GGUUCUUUAGCUCAGUGGGAGAGCACUAGCUCGACAAGCUAGGGGUCGUAGGUUCAAGUCCUACAAGGACCA
RNAcentral lists this transfer RNA (72 nucleotides) under Falseniella ignava. It matches the Rfam family "tRNA". From Rfam's summary of the family: Transfer RNA (tRNA) molecules are approximately 80 nucleotides in length. Their secondary structure includes four short double-helical elements and three loops (D, anti-codon, and T loops). RNAcentral also lists the same sequence under 1 other name. The record is from RNAcentral. Lineage: Bacteria; Bacillati; Bacillota; Bacilli; Lactobacillales; Aerococcaceae.